GAAUGCUGACAUAAGUAACGAUAAAGCGGGUGAAAAGCCCGCUCGCCGGAAGACCAAGGGUUCCUGUCCAACGUUAAUCGGGGCAGGGUGAGUCGACCCCUAAGGCGAGGCCGAAAGGCGUAGUCGAUGGGAAACAGGUUAAUAUUCCUGUACUUGGUGUUACUGCGAAGGGGGGACGGAGAAGGCUAUGUUGGCCGGGCGACGGUUGUCCCGGUUUAAGCGUGUAGGCUGGUUUUCCAGGCAAAUCCGGAAAAUCAAGGCUGAGGCGUGAUGACGAGGCACUACGGUGCUGAAGCGACAAAUGCCCUGCUUCCAGGAAAAGCCUCUAAGCAUCAGGUAACAUCAAAUCGUACCCCAAACCGACACAGGUGGUCAGGUAGAGAAUACCAAGGCGCUUGAGAGAACUCGGGUGAAGGAACUAGGCAAAAUGGUGCCGUAACUUCGGGAGAAGGCACGCUGAUAUGUAGGUGAAGCGACUUGCUCGUGGAGCUGAAAUCAGUCGAAGAUACCAGCUGGCUGCAACUGUUUAUUAAAAACACAGCACUGUGCAAACACGAAAGUGGACGUAUACGGUGUGACGCCUGCCCGGUGCCGGAAGGUUAAUUGAUGGGGUUAGCGGUAACGCGAAGCUCUUGAUCGAAGCCCCGGUAAACGGCGGCCGUAACUAUAACGGUCCUAAGGUAGCGAAAUUCCUUGUCGGGUAAGUUCCGACCUGCACGAAUGGCGUAAUGAUGGCCAGGCUGUCUCCACCCGAGACUCAGUGAAAUUGAACUCGCUGUGAAGAUGCAGUGUACCCGCGGCAAGACGGAAAGACCCCGUGAACCUUUACUAUAGCUUGACACUGAACAUUGAGCCUUGAUGUGUAGGAUAGGUGGGAGGCUUUGAAGUGUGGACGCCAGUCUGCAUGGAGCCGACCUUGAAAUACCACCCUUUAAUGUUUGAUGUUCUAACGUGGGCCCCUUACCGGGGUUGCGGACAGUGUCUGGUGGGUAGUUUGACUGGGGCGGUCUCCUCCUAAAGAGUAACGGAGGAGCACGAAGGUUGGCUAAUCCUGGUCGGACAUCAGGAGGUUAGUGCAAUGGCAUAAGCCAGCUUGACUGCGAGCGUGACGGCGCGAGCAGGUGCGAAAGCAGGUCAUAGUGAUCCGGUGGUUCUGAAUGGAAGGGCCAUCGCUCAACGGAUAAAAGGUACUCCGGGGAUAACAGGCUGAUACCGCCCAAGAGUUCAUAUCGACGGCGGUGUUUGGCACCUCGAUGUCGGCUCAUCACAUCCUGGGGCUGAAGUAGGUCCCAAGGGUAUGGCUGUUCGCCAUUUAAAGUGGUACGCGAGCUGGGUUUAGAACGUCGUGAGACAGUUCGGUCCCUAUCUGCCGUGGGCGCUGGAGAACUGAGGGGGGCUGCUCCUAGUACGAGAGGACCGGAGUGGACGCAUCACUGGUGUUCGGGUUGUCAUGCCAAUGGCACUGCCCGGUAGCUAAAUGCGGAAGAGAUAAGUGCUGAAAGCAUCUAAGCACGAAACUUGCCCCGAGAUGAGUUCUCCCUGACUCCUUGAGAGUCCUGAAGGAACGU
Molecule: ribosomal RNA, 1568 nt
Filed under: Escherichia coli
Lineage: Bacteria; Pseudomonadati; Pseudomonadota; Gammaproteobacteria; Enterobacterales; Enterobacteriaceae
Description: partial 23S ribosomal RNA
Rfam family: Bacterial large subunit ribosomal RNA
Source: RNAcentral